GUUGUUCUCAUAGAUAUGAAUGAGUAGAUAGGACACGCCCCUUUGAGCUGCGUGCUACAGCGAGGCUAAGCUAGUGGGGGAAAAGUUUCAGUGCAUUCCGUUGAUGUAGACGGCGUGAAAACGGAAACAACAAGAAUGCCGUUUCACUGUGCUGCAUACAGUUACACACUACGUCGUACGAUUGAGACAAGGAAACUUGGAAUGACUUUUCAUAGGUUUCCCAGAGACUAUGGGUUGAGGAGGAAUUGGAAGUUUGUCGGCUUAGACCUGGUGUCAUUCCAUCAGUGUUAAACUUCCCGGCUCAUCUUGGAAGAACCAAAGAACUACAGACUCUUCACAACCUGCUCAAACUCUUGGUACAGGACCUCACCACACGAGUCAAGAAGGUUUCCUUCUCAUUUCUACUCUGAAGCUCA
Long non-coding RNA from Amphiprion ocellaris (clown anemonefish), 416 nucleotides. NCBI's taxonomy places the organism in Eukaryota, Metazoa, Chordata, Actinopteri, Pomacentridae. The record is from Ensembl.